UGGGGGAUAUUGCACAAUGGGCGAAAGCCUGAUGCAGCGACGCCGCGUGGGGGAUGAAGGCUUUCGGGUUGUAAACCUCUUUCGCUAUCGAACAAGGCCCGCUUAGGGUGGGUUGAGGGUAGGUGGAGAAGAAGCGCCGGCUAACUACGUGCCAGCAGCCGCGGUAAUACGUAGGGCGCGAGCGUUGUCCGGAAUUAUUGGGCGUAAAGGGCUUGUAGGCGGCUUGUUGCGCCUGCUGUGAAAACGCGGGGCUUAACUUCGCGCGUGGAGUGGGUACGGGCAGGCUUGAGUGUGGUAGGGGUGACUGGAAUUCCAGGUGUAGCGGUGGAAUGCGCAGAUAUCUGGAGGAACACCGAUGGCUAAGGCAGGUCACUGGGCCAUUACUGACGCUGAGUAGCGAAAGCAUGGGUAGCGAGCAGG
Molecule: ribosomal RNA, 420 nt
Filed under: bacterium
Lineage: Bacteria
Description: partial 16S ribosomal RNA
Rfam family: Bacterial small subunit ribosomal RNA
Source: RNAcentral